GGUCAAGCGAAUAAGUGCAUGUGGUGGAUGCCUUGGCGAUCACAGGCGAUGAAGGACGUUGCAGCGUGCGAAAAGCCACGGGGAGCUCGCAAACAAGCUUUGAUCCGUGGAUGUCCGAAUGGGGAAACCCGGCCCGCAAGGGUCACUCCCACCUGAAUACAUAGGGUGGGUAGAGCGAACCCGGUGAACUGAAACAUCUAAGUAGCCGGAGGAACAGAAAUCAACCGAGAUUCCGAAAGUAGUGGCGAGCGAAAUCGGAAGAGCCUGCACAAUUUAACCAUUACGCUAGCAGAGCGGUCUGGAAAGACCGGCCAUAGUGGGUGAUAGCCCCGUAUGCGAAAGCCUGAUGGUGGAACUGAGUGUGCGACAAGUAGGGCGGGACACGUGAAAUCCUGUCUGAAGAUGGGGGGACCAUCCUCCAAGGCUAAAUACUCGUGAUCGACCGAUAGUGAACCAGUACCGUGAGGGAAAGGCGAAAAGAACCCCGGGAGGGGAGUGAAAUAGAUCCUGAAACCGCAUGCAUACAAACAGUGGGAGCCCCUGCUUCAAGCACCUUCGAAACUCUUUCGAGGAGCAUCGCGCAGCGAUGCGACUCAAAAGAAAUAAAGAAGGGGUGAAGCCUUCGAGGUUCUUUCGAGGAGCAUCGCGCAGCGAUGCGACUCAAAAGGUUUAAGAAGGAGUGAAAUGGAUAAGCAAUAGCUUGUUCAUUUGGAGGCGGGUGACUGACGAUUCGAGCGCGAGCGAGAAGCGUUAGGCGGCCCUGCGAGGACACCCGGAGGGUGUUUGAAGCAGGGGUGACUGCGUACCUUUUGUAUAAUGGGUCAGCGACUUACAUUCAGUGGCGAGCUUAACCGAAUAGGGGAGGCGUAGCGAAAGCGAGUCCGAACAGGGCGAUUCAGUCGCUGGGUGUAGACCCGAAACCAGAUGAUCUACCCAUGGCCAGGAUGAAGGUUGGGUAACACCAGCUGGAGGUCCGAACCCACUACCGUUGAAAAGGUAGGGGAUGAGCUGUGGGUAGGGGUGAAAGGCCAAACAAAUCUGGAGAUAGCUGGUUCUCUCCGAAAGCUAUUUAGGUAGCGCCUCGUGUAUCACUUCUGGGGGUAGAGCACUGUAAUGGUUGUGGGGGUCAUUGCGACUUACCGCGCCAUAGCAAACUCCGAAUACCGGAAAGUGUGAGCACGGGAGACAGACUUGGGGUGCUAACGUCCUGAGUCGAGAGGGAAACAACCCAGACCGCCGAUUAAGGUCCCGAAGACACAGUUAAGUGGGAAACGAGGUGGGAAGGCUUAGACAGCCAGGAGGUUGGCUUAGAAGCAGCCAUCCUUUAAAGAAAGCGUAAUAGCUCACUGGUCGAGUCGUCCUGCGCGGAAAAUGUAACGGGGCUCAAACUGUGCACCGAAAUCGCGGAUCCGCAUGCUCCUUUUACUUCAUUGAUAUGGCUCGCUUGGGUGAGGCUAACCUGCUUGCAGGUUAAGCCCUGCAAGGGCGGCCGAGACCAAAGCCCCCACGCAAAGUCGAGGCGGGUGAUGAGAGUGAACAGUGAAGUAAAAGGAGUGUGCGGAUGGUAGGAGAGCGUUCCGUAGGCCGUUGAAGGUGGGGUGUGAACCCUGCUGGAGGUAUCGGAAGUGCGAAUGCUGACAUGAGUAGCGAUAAAGCGGGUGAAAGGCCCGCUCGCCGAAAGCCCAAGGUUUCCUGCGCAACGUUCAUCGGCGCAGGGGUGAGUCGGCCCCUAAGGCGAGGCCGAAAGGCGUAGUCGAUGGGAAACAGGUUAAUAGUCCUGUACCUUUAUGCAAUGCGAUGGGGGGACGGAGAAGGUUAGGCAGGCCGGGUGUUGGAAGUCCCGGUUCAAGCGUGUAGGCGUGCCCGGUAGGCAAAUCCGCUGGGCUUAGCCGAGGCGUGAUGACGCAAGGUCCUUCGGGAUCCCAAGUUGCUGAGACCCCGCUUCCAGGAAAAGCCUCUAAGCUUCAGUUGCAUGAAGACCGUACCGCAAACCGACACAGGUGGGCAGGAUGAAGAUUCUAAGGCGCUUGAGAGAACUCAGGAGAAGGAACUCGGCAAAUUAGCACCGUAACUUCGGGAGAAGGUGCGCCCCGGUAGUGUGUAGCGGCUUGCCCGUGAAGCACGAUGGGGUUGCAGUGAAUUGGUGGCUGCGACUGUUUAAUAAAACACAGCACUCUGCAAACACGAAAGUGGACGUAUAGGGUGUGACGCCUGCCCGGUGCCGGAAGGUUAAGUGAUGGGGUGCAAGCUCUUGAUCGAAGCCCCGGUAAACGGCGGCCGUAACUAUAACGGUCCUAAGGUAGCGAAAUUCCUUGUCGGGUAAGUUCCGACCUGCACGAAUGGCGUAACGAUGGCCACACUGUCUCCUCCUGAGACUCAGCGAAGUUGAAGUGUUUGUGAAGAUGCAAUCUACCCGCUGCUAGACGGAAAGACCCCAUGCACCUUUACUGUAGCUUUGCAUUGGACUUUGAUGAGACUUGUGUAGGAUAGGUGGGAGGCUUUGAAGGCGGGAUGCUAGUCCCGCUGGAGCCGUCCUUGAAAUACCACCCUGGUGUCAUUGAGGUUCUAACCUGGAUCCAUUAUCUGGAUCGGGGACCGUGCAUGGCAGGCAGUUUGACUGGGGCGGUCUCCUCCCAAAGGGUAACGGAGGAGUUCGAAGGUUCGCUAGGUACGGUCGGACAUCGUACUGAUAGUGCAUUGGCAAAAGCGAGCUUGACUGCGAGACGGACAUGUCGAGCAGGUGCGAAAGCAGGACAAAGUGAUCCGGUGGUUCUGUAUGGAAGGGCCAUCGCUCAACGGAUAAAAGGUACGCUGGGGAUAACAGGCUGAUGACUCCCAAGAGUUCAUAUCGACGGAGUCGUUUGGCACCUCGAUGUCGGCUCAUCACAUCCUGGGGCUGUAGCCGGUCCCAAGGGUAUGGCUGUUCGCCAUUUAAAGUGGUACGUGAGCUGGGUUUAAAACGUCGUGAGACAGUUUGGUCCCUAUCUGCAGUGGGCGUUGGAGAUUUGACGGGGGCUGCUCCUAGUACGAGAGGACCGGAGUGGACGCACCUCUGGUGUACCGGUUAUGACGCCAGUCGUAUCGCCGGGUAGCUAUGUGCGGAAGAGAUAACCGCUGAAAGCAUCUAAGCGGGAAACUUGCCUGAAGAUGAGAUCUCCCGGAGGCUUGACCUCCCUGAAGGGUCGUGGAAGACCACCACGUUGAUAGGCCGGGUGUGGAAGCGCAGUAAUGCGUUAAGCUAACCGGUACUAAUUGCCCGUGCGGCUUGAUCCU
RNAcentral lists this ribosomal RNA (3273 nucleotides) under Betaproteobacteria bacterium. RNAcentral describes it as "23S ribosomal RNA". It matches the Rfam family "Bacterial large subunit ribosomal RNA". Lineage: Bacteria; Pseudomonadati; Pseudomonadota; Betaproteobacteria. The record is from RNAcentral.